AUAAAUUAGUUUUUAAUAAGGAGGAUUAGAAAUGUGAAUAUUAUAUCAAAUUAGGACAGAGCUCAUCGAAACGAGAAUUUUGACACCAAUUUCGAAGAAAACGGUCCAAAAUUGGACCGAACGGGCCGGACCGGUUGAACCGGACCCAAACCGGGCCCGUGGGCCCAACCGGCCAGCAUUUAAAUGAGCCUAAAAGCUCAUUUCUCUUCAUUAACGUAACAGAAGCAGCAACGCUCCCAGGGAGGAAGAGAACGCCAAACCUAACGGCAACCUUCAACAUGCCGUAACUCCUCCGUCCGAACUCCGAUCGCCGCACCGUUUGCGGCCACGCGUUCACCGCGUCGAGCUCUACGUUUCUACCGGAACAAUUUCAUAGGAUCCAAUUAGCUUGAGAGAAACGUUCACUCUUGCUUAUGUGAAGCUUGGGUAAGGUUGUGAAUAAAUAAUUGGAGCUUGAAAUUGUGAAUAUUGGAACUUGGAGGAAGCUGAUUAGUUGAAUUUUGAAGGGGCUGCCUUGGUUUUAAAUAAUUUGCUUUGGUCGUUACGGGGAAAUCGGCCAAGAUGCAGGUCGAGAGGCAUCUCGUUAGGCGUCUGGACUCUUGAGGCGGAGUGGUUACUGGGAUAUUUUGUUAUGCUAUGAUGUAUAUAUAUGUACUUAGCUUUCUCUCCGCAUGACUUAUUCUUUUUUAUCCUCUUAGAGGUUUAUGGAGAGGCAGGAUUGUGUAUAUGUACUUUUGGGUUUUUGAUAUGUAUGUAUAUAUGUGUAAAUAUUCUCCGGCCAGUCUUGACUUCGCAGGCUGAGUUAGGAGCUUGUUAUUUUGUAUCUUUGGUAUUCUACCCCUACUUCUGUUAUCUUAUGUUUAAUAGUUAUGGUUUUCUUAGCACGCAGGUUAACUCGUUCCUUGAGUGUUGCGCUUUUAUUUCGCGAUUUUUGUUUCCUCUAUUCUUCAAGGCUCCUAGCAUAUUAUAAUUCUUCCGCUAUUAUAUGUACUUAUUUUAUUCAGAAGUCGUAAUACCACACCACCUCUGUUUUACGACUUAAGCGUAAAACUUAGUGUGGUAGGGUGUUACAUUAUGGUAUCAGAGCAGUUCGUUCCUAUAGAGCCUGAAAGACGGACUGAUUGUACUUCUGUGCAUUCUCUGUAUAUGUGUUUAUGUGCUAUUAGGAUAUCUGACUGAUAUAUAUGGCAUAAACGUUUGUGAGCAUGCAUUUGGAACUUAAAGCAUUAGACCUGCGAUAUUGAGACUGAUCAACUUAAUAUCACUUGUUUGGUGUGUAUAAGGACCAGAUGUCGACUCGCAGACGCGGUCGCGGGCGAGGUAGAGGUAGGAUAGGCAUCGUUACUCCUAGCCCGGUAGGGAAUGAUCCAGUAGACUUUAUGGCUGCCCUGGGAAAUAUGGCUGCAACUAUGCAGGUGACAGCCAAGGCACUGGGUAAUAAGAUAAACCAGGGUAAUCACGGGAACAAUAAUGAUGAGGACGGUCCUAUGACACUUGCAACGUUUCUGAAAGUUCACCCUCCUACUUUUAGGGGAACCUCAAAUCCCACUGAUGCAGAUAAUUGGAUCCAGGCUAUGGAAAUGGUGUCGCAGGUUCCUGAGGAGCAUUGGGUUGAGUUUGGAACUUAUCAGCUGCAAAGCGAGGCUCAGCAUUGGUGGUAGGGAAUACGACGUAUCCUGUAGACAGAUGAUGCUAGGAUAACCGGGAGGUUGGUUAUCCAAGAAUCAUGUUUUGCUUGAUUGUUCUGAGAAGUUAGUACAGUUUAUGCCAGAAGGGUCAGAAGCACCGGUUGUGGUGAAUAGUUACUAUUUGAAUUCUAUGAUAGUAAACUGUUCUGGAACUGGAUGUCAGGGUGUUAUGUUAUUAACUGUGGGAGUACCAGGUGAUGAUCAGAGUUUAGAGCAGAUUUCGGUUGCAUGUGAAUUUCCAGAUGAGUUUCCAGAUGAUAUUAAUGAAUUUUCAUCUAACCGAGAGGUUGAAUUUGCAAUCGAGUUGGUACCUGGAUCUGGUCCAAUUUCAAUUACUCCUUAUAGGAUGUCACCUUUAGAAAUGGCUGAACUGAAAGCUCAACUGGAAGAUCUAUUGGGUAAGCAUUUUAUUCGACCAAGUGUUUCUCCGUGGGGAGCACCAGUGUUACUAGUAAAGAAGAAGGAUGGGAGUAUGCGAUUGUGUGUCGACUAUCGGUAGUUGAAUAAGAUCACUGUGAAGAACAAAUAUCCAUUGCCUAGAAUCGAUGAUCUAAUGGAUCAGUUACAGGGUGCCGGUGUGUUUUCUAAGAUUGACCUGCAAUCCGGGUAUCAUCAGAUAAGAGUUAGAGAUGAGGAUAUUUCAAAAACUGCUUUCAGGACACGUUAUGGUCAUUAUGAAUAUACGGUGAUGUCUUUUGGAUUAACUAAUGCUCCGGCCGUAUUUAUGGAUUAUAUGAACAAGAUUUUCCGACCGUAUCUGGACAAGUUUGUUAUUGUCUUUAUUGAUGACAUUCUUGUUUAUUCUAAGUCUGAAGAGAAACAUGCUGAACACUUGCGAACUGUGCUGCAAAUUCUGAGAGAUAGGAAGUUAUAUGCUAAGUUAUCUAAAUGCGAGUUCUGGAAGAGUGAAGUGAAGUUUCUCGGCCACGUGGUGAGUAAGCAGGGGAUAGCUGUGGAUCCUGCUAAGGUGGAAGCAGUGAUGAAUUGAGAGCGAUCAACUUCAGUGACAGAGAUCAGGAGUUUCUUAGGUUUGGCGGGGUAUUAUCGCAGAUUCAUUAAGGGAUUUUCACAGCUCGCCAUACCUUUAACUAAAUUGACUAGGAAGGAUACGCCUUUUGUCUAGACUCCGGAAUGUGAAGAGAGCUUCCAAGCAUUAAAGCACAGGUUGACUACUGCACCUAUAUUGGUAUUACCUGAACCAAGUGAACCGUUUGAAGUGUAUUGUGAUGCAUCUCUGAAAGGUUUGGGGUGUGUUCUAAUGCAGCACCAAAAUGUUGUAGCAUACGCCUCACGGCAGUUAAGGCCGCAUGAGAUGAACUACCCGACACAUGAUUUAGAACUUGCUGCUGUUGUGUUUGCUUUAAAGAUCUAGAGGCACUACCUCUAUGGCGUUAAGUUUCAUGUUUUCUCAGACCAUAAGAGUUUGAAGUAUCUUUUUGAGCAGAAAGAGUUAAAUAUGCGUCAGAGGAGGUGGAUGGAGCUUCUGAAAGAUUAUGAUUUUGAAUUGAAUUAUCAUCCAGGAAAAGCGAAUGUUGUGGCGGACGCUUUGAGUCGGAAAUCUUUAUAUGCAGCUUGGAUGAUGCUACAGGAGGAAGAGUUACUGAAGGCAUUCCAAGGUUUGAAUUUGGGAGUUAGAGAAGAAUCUGGAAUCCUGUGUUUGAGUCAGUUGUAAAUUUCUAGUGAUUUUAAAUCAGAACUUCUGAAGGCUCAUCGAGAUAGUGAAGCGUUACGUAAGGUAUUACCAGCAGUUGAACAGAAAAAACAGUGGAGAGUGUCAGAAGGUCAGGAUGGUUUAUGGAGGUUCAAGAACUGGAUUAUUGUGCCUAAUAUUGGAGACCUGCGACAGAGAAUCUUGAAGGAAGCUCAUAAGAGCGGGUUUUCAAUUCAUCCAGGGAGUACUAAAAUGUAUCAGGAUCUGAAAGCGAUGUUCUGGUGGCCAGGGAUGAAGAAUGAUGUGGCAUUACAUGUAUCUAAAUGUUUAACGUGUCAGAAGGUUAAGAUUGAGCAUCAGAGACCAUCAGGGACCCUUCAGCCUUUAGAGAUUCCACAAUGGAAAUGGGAGAGUAUCGCAAUGGACUUUGUGAUAGGUUUGCCUAGGACCCGAUCUGGUUGUGACGCUAUUUGGGUGGUUGUGGACCGAUUGACGAAAUUAGCUCAUUUUCUUCCUAUCCGAAUAAGUUGCACAAUGGAAGAAUUAGCUCGAAUGUAUAUUAAAGAGAUUGUCAGGUUGCAUGGCGUGCCUUCUACCAUUAUAUCUGACAGGGAUCCUCGGUUUACAUCAAGGUUCUGGGGAGCUUUUCAACGUGCAUUUGGAACUCAGCUAAGCUUGAGUACUGCGUAUCACCCUCAGACAGAUGGUCAGUCAGAAAGAACUAUUCAGACCUUGGAGGAUAUGCUAAGGGCUUGUGUUUUGGAUCAGCCUGCGAGUUGGGAUCGGUAUAUGCCAUUAAUUGAGUUUGCUUAUAAUAAUAGCUAUCAUGCGAGCAUCGGAAUGGCUCCAUAUGAGGCUCUGUAUGGCAGAAAAUGUCAGUCUCCACUAUGUUGGUAUGAAACUGGAGAAAGGAGUUUGUUAGGGCCUGAGAUGAUAGCUGAAACUACUGAAUAGAUAAAGAAAAUUCGUAGUCGAAUGCUUAUAGCCCAAAGCCGCCAGAAGAGCUAUGCUGAUCAAAGGCGGAAGCCUUUGGAAUUGGAAGAAGGAGAACAUGUCUUUCUGAAAGUUACACCAACCACUGGAGUGGGAAGAGCUAUUAAGACUAAGAAGCUGAAUCCCCGUUAUAUUGGACCAUUUGAGAUCCUGAAGAGAAUUGGGCCAGUGGCUUAUAGAAUCACCUUACCGCCAUAUCUUUCGAAUUUGCACAACGUGUUCCAUGCAUCACAGCUUAGGAAGUACACUCCUGAUGCAAGUCAUGUUCUAGAACCAGAACCAAUCCAAGUAAGAGAAGAUCUAACACUUCCAGUAAUCCCAGUGAGAAUUGAUGAUACUAAUAUUAAACGAUUACGCGGAAAGGAAGUGUCAUUGGUAAAAGUAGCUUGGAGUCGAGCUGGGAUCGAAGAACAUACUUGGGAACUCAAAUCAGAUAUGCAAAAGGACUACCCACAUCUCUUUUCAGGUAACUGAAUUUGAAUUUUGAGGGCAAAAUUCUUUGUUAGGUGGGUAGAAUGUAAACCCCGAUUAAUUAGUAGAUAAUUAGUUAAUAAAUUAGUUUUUAAUAAGGAGGAUUAGAAAUGUGAAUAUUAUAUCAAAUUAGGACAGAGCUCAUCGAAACGAGAAUUUUGACACCAAUUUCGAAGAAAACGGUCCAAAAUUGGACCGAACGGGCCGGACCGGUUGAACCGGACCCAAACCGGGCCCGUGGGCCCAACCGGCCAGCAUUUAAAUGAGCCUAAAAGCUCAUUUCUCUUCAUUAACGUAACAGAAGCAGCAACGCUCCCAGGGAGGAAGAGAACGCCAAACCUAACGGCAACCUUCAACAUGCCGUAACUCCUCCGUCCGAACUCCGAUCGCCGCACCGUUUGCGGCCACGCGUUCACCGCGUCGAGCUCUACGUUUCUACCGGAACAAUUUCAUAGGAUCCAAUUAGCUUGAGAGAAACGUUCACUCUUGCUUAUGUGAAGCUUGGGUAAGGUUGUGAAUAAAUAAUUGGAGCUUGAAAUUGUGAAUAUUGGAACUUGGAGGAAGCUGAUUAGUUGAAUUUUGAAGGGGCUGCCUUGGUUUUAAAUAAUUUGCUUUGGUCGUUACGGGGAAAUCGGCCAAGAUGCAGGUCGAGAGGCAUCUCGUUAGGCGUCUGGACUCUUGAGGCGGAGUGGUUACUGGGAUAUUUUGUUAUGCUAUGAUGUAUAUAUAUGUACUUAGCUUUCUCUCCGCAUGACUUAUUCUUUUUUAUCCUCUUAGAGGUUUAUGGAGAGGCAGGAUUGUGUAUAUGUACUUUUGGGUUUUUGAUAUGUAUGUAUAUAUGUGUAAAUAUUCUCCGACCAGUCUUGACUUCGCAGGCUGAGUUAGGAGCUUGUUAUUUUGUAUCUUUGGUAUUCUACCCCUACUUCUGUUAUCUUAUGUUUAAUAGUUAUGGUUUUCUUAGCACGCA
Arachis stenosperma is the source of this 5770-nucleotide long non-coding RNA. RefSeq lists it as uncharacterized. The transcript is spliced from 7 exons. NCBI's taxonomy places the organism in Eukaryota, Viridiplantae, Streptophyta, Magnoliopsida, Fabales, Fabaceae. The record is from RefSeq and is a predicted model, not a curated record.